AAAAAUUAUAUAUUUAAAGAAUAAUAAAAUCAAAAUCAGUAUAUUGCAACAAUAUGGGAGUUUUAGAUAAUAAUGUGUAUACAAUCCUUACUUUUUCUACUCUUAUUUUGUGGAGGUACGAUGGCUACUCUCGGGAAAAAACAAAAAACAAAAAACAGAAAGAAAAUGAUAAUAAGGCUUACUUGGGAGAAACCAAGAACACCAUCAAAAGGUCCAUGCUUUGACAUAAAAUCUUCUAUGUAUCCUAGGCAUUCUUCAAAGUUGUAAUACUCCGUGAAAUAGUAGUAGUAAAUUAAGGAUAUGAAGAAGCAAUUGUUAAUACUUAAUGCCUUAUUUGAUUGAAACCAUUCAAAAUAAGAAGGAUCGAAGAAACCCUCAAGUGCAGAUUUUCCCUGUGCUGGAAAAGGUGCAUCCAAAAAACCAAAUCUAAUUUAUCUACGACGGAUUCCGGCCACUGAAAAAUCAUAUUUUUGAGGAUUUCAGCACUGCCUCUUAAGCCACGGAGGCAGAGAAUUCUUAGUUUCUUCUUCUCUGAUUCUUUCUCCAUUGUUAGGUAGCCUUUGUUUAGAUAUAUCUUUUAAUUUUCUUGGAAAUUGUAAGACCAAUUAGCAUUAUAUGACUGGUUGCCACGUGGACUGUUUAAGUACUAGC
RNAcentral lists this long non-coding RNA (651 nucleotides) under Nicotiana benthamiana. Its description in RNAcentral is "long non-coding RNA (NBEN_LNC027668)". Lineage: Eukaryota; Viridiplantae; Streptophyta; Magnoliopsida; Solanales; Solanaceae. The record is from RNAcentral.